AGUAGGCAGCUUCAGUCCUGGUAUGGGCUGUAGCAAGUACUGCUGCUGCUGUCCAUCCCUUCUGCCCACAGGGCAGAAGAAAAUGGAAAACAAAGACAAACAAACCAAAGAAGGCGGAUGAAGUAGAAGCCAUUCAUUCUUUCCAUGAACAUUGACCCUAUAUCCUGAAGGUGGAUCCAAUGAAAAAAGAGAAGCAGCAAGAGUGGCUUCUGUUUCCCUGGCUGGACUCUGAGUAAUAUAGCAGCAAUAAUUUCCCAAGGGAAAGGAGGAAGACGGGUUGGCUCCAAUGAAGACACUUAUGAUGUGAAGAGUUCCCGUAACAGUUCACCAUCUCUGGGGCAGUUAUACAACAGGGAUCCCUGACUUCUUCAGAACCGAGAGUUCAAAUCAGGACUAUCUGGUGAUGAAUCUAUCCACUAGAAGCUGAUAUGAAGAGUCAGGUCACUAGAAAACAGAAUAUCAUGUGAUUGUGUUUGACUGCACAACUGGUCUCUAUCAAUAUCUAUGCCUGAAGAGGAAGAAUGUUUGCCUAGUAAGGCCAUUAAUAUUGGCAAAUCUUGCAUAGACACAAGUGGUUGUAAUUCUUACUACCAUUAAGACAGUAGAUGGAUGGCUUUGAAUUUGGGCCAAGUGAGCAAAGGCAGCCCCUCCCUCUCUACGUUCCAGCCGUUUUGCUCACUGUGAGGACUCAGCUGUGACACGUAGAGAUGGGGUUUUACCAUAUUGGCCAGGAUGGUCUUGAUUUCUUGACCUCAUGAUCUGCCCGCCUCGGCUUCCCAAAGUCUGGGGAUUACAGGUGUGAGCCACCGCGCCCGGCCAGAAAG
RNAcentral lists this long non-coding RNA (824 nucleotides) under Homo sapiens (human). Its description in RNAcentral is "long intergenic non-protein coding RNA 2196". Lineage: Eukaryota; Metazoa; Chordata; Mammalia; Primates; Hominidae. The record is from RNAcentral.